UACAGAGGAUGCAAGCGUUAUCCGGAAUGAUUGGGCGUAAAGCGUCUGUAGGUGGCUUUUUAAGUCCGCCGUGAAAUCCCAGGGCUCAACUCUGGACAGGCGGUGGAAACUACCAAGCUGGAGUACGGUAGGGGCAGAGGGAAUUUCCGGUGGAGCGGUGAAAUGCGUAGAGAUCGGGAAGAACACCAGCGGCGAAAGCGCUCUGCUGGGCCGACACUGACACUGAGAGACGAAAGCGAGGGGAGCGAAUGGG
This 253-nucleotide ribosomal RNA is filed under the name uncultured bacterium. Its description in RNAcentral is "partial 16S ribosomal RNA". It matches the Rfam family "Bacterial small subunit ribosomal RNA", at positions 524 to 776 of the family's 1533-position model. The record is from RNAcentral.